UCGAGUACUCCUUACUGUUCAAAAUUAUUGAAAUUUAGAAUAAAAGUCUAAAAUCGCGAUUCAUAAUCUCUGGCUGGUGGCCACUGAGCGCUCCUUACUGGCUAUUGUCUAUCGCGUCUCGUCUCGAGUGACCGAGUCCCGAAUCCCAAGACAUUCCGGCACUCACUGGCUGCCCAUCCUGCCAUCCACACUCGAGAUUAAUGUCGCAUCGCCUUUCUAAUUCCCACCUACCCCAUCACGUUUGAGUGAGGAGCGAGGUCCGACAAUGGUUUUUUUCUUCUUUGAUUCUUUUUGAGUUCUACUUCCUCCUUUCCUUCUCUUCCUCUUGGUUUUUGCUCUUGGCCAACCCAGUGCCCAGUGUGGUUGUGCCCCCUUUUGCCUUUCCUCAUCAAUCGAGUGGCGAGCCGUUGACCACCCUCACCUCUCAAAGUCUCAGUCUCUGGCUCUUUGCCAUGUCCCAAUUUGACUGACUCUCCUCCCAUCUCACGUUUAGCUGUUUAUGGUAAACGCCCUAAAUGGAUUAGGGUUUCUCGCCCCUAUUCCAUCGGCAAGCGACCCCUUUCCUCUUUCAAUCUUACUUUUAGAGGAGUAAAUCUAUUCUUCCUCUAGAAUCUAGAUCUAAUCUUUCAUCUCAAAUCUUAAGUCUCUAAAAACCCCCAUCAUCAUCCUCAAACCUCAACUCCUUUCUCAUUUUUCUCUUUUAUCACUCAUUUAUAGUUUACUUAAUCUAUUGCAGUGUUGCCUCUUUGCAAAAUAGAAGAUCAAGGUUGAAGAAAAAAAAGGCUUAAGGCAAGAUAUUUCUACAAGAUGGAAUUCAACUUUUUUAAUACUAGAGAGUGGCCUAUUUUACCGCCGAGCCUUUCUUCAUUUGAAAUUGAGUGACUCUAAUUACAAGCAUUAUCCAUCUGAAUAGGAGUGGGGCAAAGUUGAGAAGAUUAGCAAGUUGUUGAAUGAGUUCUAUGAUGCUAUUUUAGUAUUCUCCGGAGUUAAAUGUCCUACAUCAAACUUAUAUUUUCUUGAUUGAGCUCACUUUAAGAUAAGAGAUGGAGAGUGUAGAUGCUUCAAUGCAAAGAAUAGCAUGGCAGUUGCAUAAAAAAAUUGAAAAGUAUUGGUUGGAUCAUAGCUUAAUCUUGGCCAUGAUAGUCAUUGUUGAUCCUUGACACAAAUAUCUGUUUGCGGAGUAUUGUUGUAGAGAUGGUUGUACCGAGAGCAUCGCAUCCGUGAUUGUAUGUUUUCUCUCUUUAAUUAGUAUAUGCUUGCUUCUUCUAAAGCUCCAACUACUAGCACAUCAACUCAUGGAGACAUGGAGAGUGGUACUUGUGAAACUUCUGAGCCAGAUGACGGAGGAUCUUCAUUACUAAGAUUCUAUCAUCUAGGUCAUUUACUUGGCGCAACCAGAAUAUGCACUGCAUAUAUACCAGAUCAGCCAUGGGACGGAAGGUUGAGGACCUUGCAAUGUUAGAAAAAUUCGGCUUACCAUAAUAAACAAUCUUCUUGAGUACCACCCUGAUCUAGUGAGAAGCUGGCAAUGGGCGAGGUUGUUGGAAUAAAACCUCCAGAGAAGAGGUUCUUUCUGAUAGUUGAAUAUAGUACCACAUUUUGUUGAGCCAAGCUUUGUUGAUACAAAGAAUCUACCUUACUGUCAUUUCUUGGUUCAGUGUUUGGAACUUUGUGUUAGUUUGGAUCUAAAUAUUUUGCGUUAUCCUUCAUUGGCAAAGUAUGUUAGCUUUCCUGCUAAAGUUCUGAAUUAAAACUUGAGGAAACCGAUGCUAUAAGAAGAUGGCCUACUGCUUACUAUCUUCAAGCUGCUGCUUUUCUCAGUCUUGGAAUGGAAACCGAUGCCCAAGAAUCACUCAAAGAUGGUGCUUCUCUAGAGACUGAAAGGGAUCAAAAAUACUGAAGUGUAAAGGUUUAUUGUAUCAUGCAAGAUGAUGGGAUCAAAAUUUGAAAUAUAUUCAUCAAAUGAAGUUAAUGAUACAACAUUUCAACACUACGUAGGCAAGUUUC
Phoenix dactylifera (date palm) is the source of this 2007-nucleotide non-coding RNA. The record is from RefSeq and is a predicted model, not a curated record. Lineage: Eukaryota; Viridiplantae; Streptophyta; Magnoliopsida; Arecales; Arecaceae.